Molecule: non-coding RNA, 2516 nt
Organism: Camellia sinensis
Lineage: Eukaryota; Viridiplantae; Streptophyta; Magnoliopsida; Ericales; Theaceae
Source: RefSeq, a predicted model, not a curated record
AAGUUAUUAUUUUUUAUUACAAACCUCGUUGGGGAUGUAAAUGCAAUUUACACCCGUUAGGGAUGUUCACUCAUCAUUCGCCCGCUAAAACACUUCUCAAUCCUCUGGAAAACCUAAAUCUUAUUUUCAAUUCCAUUCCAAAGAUUUUUGUCUGCCUCCAAUUCGCCAUUGUUAGCUGUCUCUCUCUCUCUCUCUCUCUGUAGCUCUGUCUGUGCUUCUCUGUUCUUUUUUUAGUUGGCCCAUCAAAUAGUUUCUUUUUUUAUUAAUAGGGUUCUCUGUUGUUUUAGGAAUUACUAUGUUGGGAUUGGGUUUUGGUGUUGUGUGAUUUGUGAUGCUUGAAGGACAUAACAACAACUAUAUAAUUAUGUGGAAUUACAGGUCUUUGUCAUGGGAAAUUUUUUAAUGUUAGUUAAGUGUGGUAUCAUAACUAUUGGUUGUUUGAUUAAACAAGAGAAAAUAACUUUUGGGUUGUUUGUGACAAAGUAGUAUGCUGCUAUAUCUCUCGUAAUUUGCUAUAUAGAAUGCAAACUGGUAUAUAUUUCGGCAAUUGCUUGUGUUGUGAUGCAUAUUUUGCUUUUUACAAUGAGUGCUCUAGAAAUUAUAUUGCAUUUUUCUUAAUGUUAAUGGAAUUAUGGAACCCAAACUUCAAAUAUUUCCAAAAUGGGUUGAUCUGUUUUACAUUUCUUUUCAUGGGUCUGGUUUUUAUUUGUUUGCUUUAUGUCUUCCCAAUUAAGACAGAAUCUGUUCCUUUACUUCCUUCUAAAGUCCAAGGAAAUGACGGACACAAAUCUACUUAUUAAACUGUUCAAAUUCUCUUUUGAAGACAUUUCUUUCUACUAUUGUUAUUGCUAUUAAUCAAUAGCCUCUGCAAAUACACAAUGUCCAACAUGUGAGUGAUUUCAUCUAAAAAUUUAUUUUUGAACUCGUGCAUGCUUACUGACUGGACUAGUCAUUGACUCUGGUGAUGGUGUCACUCAUGUGGUAAAUCAUUCAAACCAUUUGUGUAAUAUGAUUUUGAAGUAUCAAGAGGUCUUUCUUGUUUUUUAUUCGUAGUUACCCCUGUUUUUAUUCAAUUAAACCUUUGGUUGCCAGCAUUCUUGCAAAUGAAAUCCUCACAUAAUUGUUUAUUGUCAAAUAUAACUUAAAAUUUAAUUUUGGUACGGUAUUCUGUGAUAUAGGUCCUUGUGGACUUUCCUAAAUCGUUGUGUUUUUAAGGAUUUGCCUUUUGAUUUGUGCAAUGACUUCUUUCUAAAAGUAAAUUUGUUGCUUCCAAGUUAUAGAAAACAAAAAUGAAAUGAUUCCACUCCAUGGGAUGUUCAAAUGUGACUUGAGUGUUUUCCUAUGAUUUGUAUUGUGUGGCAUCUAACUUGGAUGCUUCUUGACAACUCUGAAGUUUACUCAUCUUUAAGUAAGACUAAUUGCAUGAUCUUCUUAAUCUUAAUAGGUAUAUAUAAAUAUAUAUAUAUUUUAAUUAAGUGUCUACAUAUAAUCUUUAUGUAAAGAUGUUCAUUUUGUGUGAUCCAUGAAGUUGGUAAUCACAAAGCAAUUCAAAAAUUUGUGUGCUUGCAUCCUCAGAUUUGUUGGCUGUAUUAACUUGGUUGGUAACGCAUUUCACCAUUUGAUAAAUUUAGAAUUGGACUAUUAGUGCCAUUGUUGACAAAUCUGGUAUAGAAUUAUUAGUAAGUGGGAGGAGCUAUUAUUUCUAUGACCCUCGAUAGGGAAUCACUACUUGGGGAAUAUAAUUACUUGAAUCUUCUCUCUGGGUCUUCUCUCCAGGUUCCAGUUGUUGAUGGCUACUCAUUCCCACAUCUUACAAAACGAAUGAAUGUAGCUAGAUGACACAUAACAUCUUAUCUUGUUGAUUUGCUUCUGCGUAGAGGGUAUAGGCCAACAUCUUUCUAAACAGAGUUAGUAAGAUUAGUAUCAUUUUUGUCAUACCUAUUCUUCACAGUAAUUACUUUUGUUUUGAUUGGAAUACAAACUUCUUUCCUAAAGGUAUGAGAUGAAUAGGACUGUUGACUUUGAGACUAGUGGGGAUAUCAAAGAGAAGCUUUGCUACAUAAGAUGAGCAAAUAACAUCAUUGUUUGGUAUGCUUUUAUGGAAUUUUUUUCAUUACAAUUUUGCAAUUUAUUAGAUCUGUUUCCUUGCGGUUAUGAUUACAGGAGGGGAUAUCGAUUGAGACUUGAGACUACCAUCCUUGUUAAGAAUUAUACUUUACAAGAUGGAAGGGUCAUCAAAGUUGGCACAAAACGGUUCCAAGUUCCAGAGGCUCUUUUUACUCCUUUAUAUUUCCAAGAAUCAAUAUAAGGGACCCUUAUAAACGGCUUGGAAUAAGUAGGGAAGCUUUUGAAGACGAAAUCAAAGCUGCUAGGAAUUUCCUAAUACAAAGAUAUGGAGGACACAAGCGAAGUGUUGAUGUAAUUAAAUCAGCCCAUAAUGGUGCACUCACAAGAAGAUAUUUGGAUAAAUUUUGUAUAUUUUUAGAACUUAAUGAUAGUUUUUUUUGGAUGAUUUA